UAGAAAAACGGGACUUGAACCCGCACCAAAAGACUCAAAACCUUUAGCACUCCAUUAUGCUACUUCCU
This 68-nucleotide transfer RNA is filed under the name Stenocercus latebrosus. RNAcentral describes it as "tRNA-Gln". Lineage: Eukaryota; Metazoa; Chordata; Lepidosauria; Squamata; Tropiduridae. The record is from RNAcentral.